AGCCUAUAAGCUCAAAUUGUUAGAGCGUUGUGUUUACACAAAGGUGUAGGUUCGACUCCUACAUAGGCUC
Non-coding RNA from Spinacia oleracea (spinach), 70 nucleotides. The record is from Rfam. Lineage: Eukaryota; Viridiplantae; Streptophyta; Magnoliopsida; Caryophyllales; Amaranthaceae.